Molecule: ribosomal RNA, 700 nt
Filed under: uncultured Candidatus Tremblayella sp.
Lineage: Bacteria; Pseudomonadati; Pseudomonadota; Betaproteobacteria
Description: bacterial SSU rRNA
Rfam family: Bacterial small subunit ribosomal RNA
Source: RNAcentral
UAGAAUUCCAGGAGUAGCGGUGAAAUGCGUAGAUAUCUGGAGGAAUACCAAAGGCGAAGGCAGUCCCCUGGUCCGAUACUGACACUGGGGUACGAAAGCGUGGGGAGCAAACAGGAUUAGAUACCCUGGUAGUCCACGCCCUAAACGAUGUCGAUUAGCCAUUGGAAGGACCCCUUUUCCUUUCAGUGACGUAGCUAACGCGUUAAAUCGACCGCCUGGGAAGUACGACCGCAAGGUUAAAACUCAAAGGAAUUGACGGGGACCUGAACAAGCGGUGAAUGAUGUGGAUUAAUUCGAUGCUACGCGAAGAACCUUACCUACCUUUGACAUGGCCAAAGUUCUACCGAGAGGCGGAAGUACUCGUAAGAGGAUUGGCGCACAGGUGCUGCAUGGUUGUCGUCAGUUCGUGUCGUGAGAUGUUGGGUUCAGUCCCGCAACGAACGCAACCCUUAUCUUUAAUUGCUCCUAUUUUAACAGGCACUUUAAAGAAACUGCCAAUGAUAAGUUGGAGGAAGGUGGGGAUCACGUCAAGUCCGCAUGGCCUUUAUAGGUAGGGCUUCACAUGUCAUACAAUGGUUAGAACAAAGAGCUGCAAAUUCGUAAGAAGGAGCCAAUCUCACAAACCUAACCUCAGUUCGAAUUGCGGUCUGCAACUCGAGCGCAUGAAGCCGGAAUCGCUAGUAAUCGUGGAUCAGAAUGC